This 673-nucleotide ribosomal RNA is filed under the name Vibrio sp. MR06-95. RNAcentral describes it as "bacterial SSU rRNA". It matches the Rfam family "Bacterial small subunit ribosomal RNA", at positions 30 to 688 of the family's 1533-position model. Lineage: Bacteria; Pseudomonadati; Pseudomonadota; Gammaproteobacteria; Vibrionales; Vibrionaceae. The record is from RNAcentral.
GGAACUUUCUGCUCGUUUUGAUGCAGUCGAGCGGAACGACAACAUUGACCCUUCGGAUGAUUUGUUGGGCGUCGAGCGGCGGACGGGUGAGUAAUGCUUAGGAAUUUGCCCAGUCGAGGGGGACAACAGUUGGAAACGACUGCUAAUACCGCAUACGCCCUUCGGGGGAAAGCAGGGGACCUUCGGGCCUUGCGCGAUUGGAUAAGCCUAAGUGAGAUUAGCUAGUUGGUGAGGUAAUGGCUCACCAAGGCGACGAUCUCUAGCUGGUCUGAGAGGAUGAUCAGCCACACUGGAACUGAGACACGGUCCAGACUCCUACGGGAGGCAGCAGUGGGGAAUAUUGCACAAUGGGCGAAAGCCUGAUGCAGCCAUGCCGCGUGUAUGAAGAAGGCCUUCGGGUUGUAAAGUACUUUCAGCAGUGAGGAAGGGUGGGUAGUUAAUAGCUGCACAUCUUGACGUUAGCUGCAGAAGAAGCACCGGCUAACUCCGUGCCAGCAGCCGCGGUAAUACGGAGGGUGCGAGCGUUAAUCGGAAUUACUGGGCGUAAAGCGCAUGCAGGUGGUUUGUUAAGUCAGAUGUGAAAGCCCGGGGCUCAACCUCGGAAUUGCAUUUGAAACUGGCAGGCUAGAGUACUGUAGAGGGGGGGUAGAAUUUCAGGUGUAGCGGUGAAAUG